This is a non-coding RNA of Camellia sinensis, 409 nucleotides long. The record is from RefSeq and is a predicted model, not a curated record. Lineage: Eukaryota; Viridiplantae; Streptophyta; Magnoliopsida; Ericales; Theaceae.
GUUCUAAGAGAAUCCAAUGGCAGAUCAACGGUGAGAUCGCGUCCGAUUGAUGUGAAAUUUCAGCAAGACGAUCAUGGAGCCAGGACGAUUAUAUCUUACGAUCAGAAUCAUAAAUAAAAUUCGGACGAUAAAUCGUUAACAACCUAACAUAGUCUUGGCGAGAAAAUAAUUGAAGCUGAAAUGGAGUCGACGCUAACGUAGAGCUUUGGCUGACCUGAAACCCCGAGUAGAGCCGAAUAAAUUAUAUUAUUUUAUAUAAUAGCUAUUAAGGACUUUAUAAUUUCAUUUAAUGUUGUAUUUGGAUAAUUUUAAGUUUUUAUCUAUUGUUAUUUGGACGUUUGGUUAUGUACGAGAGUUGGAUUACCCUGUUAAGAUGUCAACUUUUUAGUUUAUUAAGUCAUUUUGUUUA